GACGAACGCUGGCGGCGUGCUUAACACAUGCAAGUCGAACGGAAAGGCCCUGCUUUUGUGGGGUGCUCGGUGGGCGAACGGGUGAGUAACACGUGAGUAACCUGCCCUUGUCUUUGGGAUGACUUCAGGAAACUGGGGCUAAUACCGGAUAGGAGCUCCUGCUGCAUGGUGGGGGUUGGAACGUUUAGGCGGUUGGGGCUGGACUCGCGGCUUAUGAGCUUGUUGGUUGGGUAGUGGCUUACCCAGGCUUUGGCGGGUCCCCGGCAGGAGAGGGGGAACGGGCACCUUGGGACUGCGAUACGGACCAGUCUCCUACGGGAGGCAACAGUGGGGAAUAUUGCACAACGGGCCGAAGCCUGAUGAAGCAACGCCGCGUUCGGGAUGACGGCCUUCGGGGUGUAAACCGCUUUCGCCUGUGACGAAGCGUGAGUGACGGUACUGGGUAAAGAAGCACCGGCUAACUACGUG
RNAcentral lists this ribosomal RNA (468 nucleotides) under uncultured bacterium. RNAcentral describes it as "partial 16S ribosomal RNA". It matches the Rfam family "Bacterial small subunit ribosomal RNA", at positions 28 to 507 of the family's 1533-position model. The record is from RNAcentral.